UGAGCAAUCUGCCCUUCUCAUCGGAAUAAGCGUUGGAAACGACGUCUAAUGCCGAAUACGACCUCCUUUCGCAUGAUCGGAGGUGGAAAGCUCCGGCGGAGAAGGAUGGGCUCGCGGCCUAUCAGCUAGUUGGUGUGGGUAACGGCCCACCAAGGCGACGACGGGUAGCCGACCUGAGAGGGUGACCGGCCACACUGGGACUGAGACACGGCCCAGACUCCUACGGGUGCAGCAGG
Molecule: ribosomal RNA, 236 nt
Filed under: uncultured bacterium
Lineage: Bacteria
Description: partial 16S ribosomal RNA
Rfam family: Bacterial small subunit ribosomal RNA
Source: RNAcentral